UACAGAUACAGUCAACAAGGCUGGUUACAAGUACACUCCACUCUCUCUGGCCUACGAAGGUGGACACUGGGAAGUGGUAAAGUAUCUCGCCAUCACUCAUCACUGUGAUACAACAAUGGCAGUGAAUGAGGAUGGAGACACUCCUCUUUCCAGUGCGUGUUUCCGUGGUGACCUGGAGAUGAUCAAGGUUCUCAUUAACAAGCAUGUUGAUCUAAGUAAGCCAGUCAACAAGGCUGGUGACACUC
Long non-coding RNA from Halichondria panicea, 245 nucleotides. RefSeq lists it as uncharacterized. The transcript has 3 exons. The record is from RefSeq and is a predicted model, not a curated record. Lineage: Eukaryota; Metazoa; Porifera; Demospongiae; Suberitida; Halichondriidae.